RNAcentral lists this ribosomal RNA (554 nucleotides) under Rosenbergiella epipactidis. RNAcentral's name for it is "bacterial SSU rRNA". It matches the Rfam family "Bacterial small subunit ribosomal RNA", at positions 88 to 638 of the family's 1533-position model. Lineage: Bacteria; Pseudomonadati; Pseudomonadota; Gammaproteobacteria; Enterobacterales; Erwiniaceae. The record is from RNAcentral.
CUGACGAGUGGCGGACGGGUGAGUAAUGUCUGGGGAUCUGCCUGAUGGAGGGGGAUAACUACUGGAAACGGUAGCUAAUACCGCAUGAUGUCGCAAGACCAAAGCGGGGGACUUUCGGGCCUCGCACCAUCAGAUGAACCCAGAUGGGAUUAGCUAGUAGGUAAGGUAAUGGCUUACCUAGGCGACGAUCCCUAGCUGGUCUGAGAGGAUGACCAGCCACACUGGAACUGAGACACGGUCCAGACUCCUACGGGAGGCAGCAGUGGGGAAUAUUGCACAAUGGGCGCAAGCCUGAUGCAGCCAUGCCGCGUGUAUGAAGAAGGCCUUCGGGUUGUAAAGUACUUUCAGUCAGGAGGAAGGGUGUGAAAUUAAUACUUUCAUGCAUUGACGUUACUGACAGAAGAAGCACCGGCUAACUCCGUGCCAGCAGCCGCGGUAAUACGGAGGGUGCAAGCGUUAAUCGGAAUUACUGGGCGUAAAGCGCACGCAGGCGGUUUGUUAAGUCAGAUGUGAAAUCCCCGGGCUCAACCUGGGAACUGCAUUUGAAACUGGCA